CCGCGGUAAUACGGAGGAUCCAAGCGUUAUCCGGAAUCAUUGGGUUUAAAGGGUCCGUAGGCGGUUUGGUAAGUCAGUGGUGAAAGCCCAUCGCUCAACGGUGGAACGGCCAUUGAUACUGCCAGACUUGAAUUACUGGGAAGUAACUAGAAUAUGUAGUGUAGCGGUGAAAUGCUUAGAGAUUACAUGGAAUACCAAUUGCGAAGGCAGGUUACUACCAGUGGAUUGACGCUGAUGGACGAAAGCGUGG
This 250-nucleotide ribosomal RNA is filed under the name uncultured bacterium. RNAcentral describes it as "partial 16S ribosomal RNA". It matches the Rfam family "Bacterial small subunit ribosomal RNA", at positions 515 to 764 of the family's 1533-position model. The record is from RNAcentral.